Molecule: ribosomal RNA, 230 nt
Filed under: uncultured bacterium
Lineage: Bacteria
Description: partial 16S ribosomal RNA
Rfam family: Bacterial small subunit ribosomal RNA
Source: RNAcentral
GAUCAUGGCUCAGGAUGAACGCUGGCGGCGUGCCUAAUACAUGCAAGUCGAACGCUUUGUGGUUCAACUGAAUUGAAGAGCUUGCUCAGAUAUGACGAUGGACAUUGCAGAGAGUGACGAACGGGUGAGUAACACGUGGGAAACCUACCUCUUAGCAGGGGAUAACAUUUGGAAACAGAUGCUAAUACCGUAUAACAAUAGCAACCGCAUGGUUGCUACUUAAAAGAUGG